CGGAAGUUAGCUCACUUGGUAGAGCAGUUGACUCAUAAUCAACCUGUAACAGGUUCAAAUCCUGUACUUUCACACA
RNAcentral lists this transfer RNA (76 nucleotides) under Dolichospermum sp. UHCC 0259. Its description in RNAcentral is "tRNA-Met". It matches the Rfam family "tRNA". From Rfam's summary of the family: Transfer RNA (tRNA) molecules are approximately 80 nucleotides in length. Their secondary structure includes four short double-helical elements and three loops (D, anti-codon, and T loops). Further hydrogen bonds mediate the characteristic L-shaped molecular structure. tRNAs have two regions of fundamental functional importance: the anti-codon, which is responsible for specific mRNA codon recognition, and the 3' end, to which the tRNAs corresponding amino acid is attached (by aminoacyl-tRNA synthetases). tRNAs cope with the degeneracy of the genetic code in two manners: having more than one tRNA (with a specific anti-codon) for a particular amino acid; and 'wobble' base-pairing, i.e. permitting non-standard base-pairing at the 3rd anti-codon position. The record is from RNAcentral. Lineage: Bacteria; Bacillati; Cyanobacteriota; Cyanophyceae; Nostocales; Aphanizomenonaceae.